UACGGGGGGAGCAAGCGUUGUUCGGAUUUACUGGGCGUAAAGGGCGCGUAGGCGGCCACCGCAAGUCGACUGUGAAAUCUCCGGGCUUAACCCGGAAAGGUCAGCCGAUACUGCGGGGCUAGAGUGCAGAAGGGGCAACUGGAAUUCUCGGUGUAGCGGUGAAAUGCGUAGGUAUCGAGAGGAACACCUGCGGCGAAGGCGGGUUGCUGGGCUGACACUGACGCUGAGGCGCGAAAGCUAGGGGAGCGAACGGG
RNAcentral lists this ribosomal RNA (254 nucleotides) under uncultured bacterium. RNAcentral describes it as "partial 16S ribosomal RNA". It matches the Rfam family "Bacterial small subunit ribosomal RNA", at positions 524 to 776 of the family's 1533-position model. The record is from RNAcentral.